UGCCAGCAGCCGCGGUAAUACGGAGGGUGCAAGCGUUGCUCGGAAUCACUGGGCGUAAAGCGUACGCAGGCGGCCUAUUAAGUCGGGUGUGAAAGCCCGGAGCUCAACUCCGGAACUGCGCCCGAUACUGGUAGGCUUGAAUACGGGAGAGGGAAGCGGAAUUCCUGGUGUAGAGGUGAAAUUCGUAGAUAUCAGGAGGAACACCAGUGGCGAAAGCGGCUUCCUGGCCCGAUAUUGACGCUCAUGUACGAAAGCGUGGGGAGCAAACAGGAUUAGAUA
Molecule: ribosomal RNA, 279 nt
Filed under: uncultured bacterium
Lineage: Bacteria
Description: partial 16S ribosomal RNA
Rfam family: Bacterial small subunit ribosomal RNA
Source: RNAcentral